This 253-nucleotide ribosomal RNA is filed under the name uncultured bacterium. RNAcentral describes it as "partial 16S ribosomal RNA". It matches the Rfam family "Bacterial small subunit ribosomal RNA", at positions 524 to 776 of the family's 1533-position model. The record is from RNAcentral.
GACGGAGGAUGCAAGCGUUAUCCGGAAUGAUUGGGCGUAAAGCGUCCGCAGGUGGCAGUUCAAGUCUGCUGUCAAAGACCGGGGCUUAGCUUCGGAAAGGCAGUGGAAACUGAACAGCUAGAGUAUGGUAGGGGCAGAGGGAAUUCCUGGUGUAGCGGUGAAAUGCGUAGAUAUCAGGAAGAACAUCGGUGGCGAAGGCGCUCUGCUGGACCAUAACUGACACUCAGGGACGAAAGCUAGGGGAGCGAAUGGG